GAUGAACGCUGGCGGCGUGCCUAAUACAUGCAAGUCGAGCGAACAGACGAGGAGCUUGCUCCUCUGACGUUAGCGGCGGACGGGUGAGUAACACGUGGAUAACCUACCUAUAAGACUGGGAUAACUUCGGGAAACCGGAGCUAAUACCGGAUAAUAUAUUGAACCGCAUGGUUCAAUAGUGAAAGACGGUUUUGCUGUCACUUAUAGAUGGAUCCGCGCCGCAUUAGCUAGUUGGUAAGGUAACAGCUUACCAAGGCAACGAUGCGUAGCCGACCUGAGAGGGUGAUCGCCCACACUGGAACUGAGACACGGUCCAGACUCCUACGGGAGGCAGCAGUAGGGAAUCUUCCGCAAUGGGCGAAAGCCUGACGGAGCAACGCCGCGUGAGUGAUGAAGGUCUUCGGAUCGUAAAACUCUGUUAUUAGGGAAGAACAAAUGUGUAAGUAACUAUGCACGUCUUGACGGUACCUAAUCAGAAAGCCACGGCUAGCUACGUG
Molecule: ribosomal RNA, 497 nt
Filed under: uncultured bacterium
Lineage: Bacteria
Description: partial 16S ribosomal RNA
Rfam family: Bacterial small subunit ribosomal RNA
Source: RNAcentral